Molecule: non-coding RNA, 252 nt
Filed under: Marvinbryantia formatexigens
Lineage: Bacteria; Bacillati; Bacillota; Clostridia; Lachnospirales; Lachnospiraceae
Description: T-box sequence
Rfam family: T-box leader
About the family: Uncharged tRNA acts as the effector for transcription antitermination of genes in the T-box leader family. T-boxes are found upstream of many aminoacyl-tRNA synthetase genes and some amino acid biosynthetic genes usually in Gram-positive bacteria.
Source: RNAcentral
AAGAAACCGUUGAGAAAGAAUAGUAGGCAUUUUAAGGAAAUCACAGAGAGCCGCAGAUGGUGGGAUUGCGGUAUGGAAUAGCUUGCCGAAUGGACUUUUGAGGGCAGCCUGAAACCGGAAAACAGAGAGUAGGCGCUGUCGGGAACCGGACCCGUUAUCAAUCAGGAGUGUAUGAAAGUACAUGCGAGAGUGGACGUUAACGUUAAGUUGAGUGGUACCGCGAUAAUAAUUCAGUUUAUUACCGUCUCAGAC